This 583-nucleotide ribosomal RNA is filed under the name uncultured bacterium. Its description in RNAcentral is "partial 16S ribosomal RNA". It matches the Rfam family "Bacterial small subunit ribosomal RNA", at positions 355 to 1375 of the family's 1533-position model. The record is from RNAcentral.
UGGGGAAUUUUGGACAAUGGGCGAAAGCCUGAUCCAGCAAUGCCGCGUGUGCGAAGAAGGCCUUCGGGUUGUAAAGCACUUUUGUCCGGAAAGAAAUCCUUGGCUCUAAUACAGUCGGGGGAUGACGGUACCGGAAGAAUAAGCACCGGCUAACUACGUGCCAGCGGCCGCAGUAAUACGUAGGGUGCAAGCGUUAAUCGGAAUUACUGGGCGUAAAGCGUGCGCAGGCGGUUUGCUAAGACCGAUGUGAAAUCCCCGGGCUCAACCUGGGAACUGCAUUGGUGACUGGCAGGCUAGAGUAUGGCAGAGGGGGGUAGAAUUCCACGUGUAGCAGUGAAAUGCGUAGAGAUGUGGAGGAAUACCGAUGGCGAAGGCAGCCCCCUGGGCCAAUACUGACGCUCAUGCACGGAAGCGUGGGGAGCAAACAGGAUUAGAUACCCUGGUAGUCCACGCCCUAAACGAUGUCAACUAGUUGUGGGGAUUCAUUUCCUAGUAACGUAGCUAACGCGUGAAGUUGACCGCCUGGGGAGUACGGUCGCAAGAUUAAAACUCAAAGGAAUUGACGGGGUCAUAGCUGUUUCCU